GAUGAAGAACGUAGCAAAAUGCGAUAAGUAAUGUGAAUUGCAGAAUUCAGUGAAUCAUCGAAUCUUUAAACGCACAUUGCGCCCGCCAGUAUUCUGGCGGGCAUGCCUGUUCGAGCGUCAUUUCAACCCUCAAGCACAGCUUGGUGUUGGGACUCGCGUUAAUUCGCGUUCCCCAAAUUGAUUGGCGGUCACGUCGAGCUUCCAUAGCGUAGUAGUAAAACCCUCGUUACUGGUAAUCGUCGCGGCCACGCCGUUAAACCCCAACUUCUGAAUGUUGACCUCGGAUCAGGUAGGAAUACCCGCUGAACUUAAGCAUAUCAAUAAGCGGAGGA
RNAcentral lists this unclassified non-coding RNA (332 nucleotides) under soil metagenome. RNAcentral describes it as "partial contains 5.8S ribosomal RNA, internal transcribed spacer 2, and large subunit ribosomal RNA". The stretch from base 1 to 120 matches the Rfam family "5.8S ribosomal RNA", at positions 35 to 154 of the family's 154-position model. The record is from RNAcentral.